AUGGCAGUUCAUGACGGCGUCAUCUUCGCCAAGCUACGGGGUUUUUCGAAAGUUGUGCUCGAGACCGAUUGCUUGGAGGUAGUCAACCUUUGGGCCGCUCGGCAUGAUUCUCGCUCUAUUGUGGCACCCAUCUUAGUAAAAAUUGGAGAGCUAGCUAGCAGUUUUACUUCUUUUGUAAUUCAGCAUGUAUCCAGGUCAGCUAACGGUCCAACUCAUAUCUGUGCUAAGCAUGCUUGCACGAUUGAUGGAACCGAGAGUUGGCUUGAUAACACUCCUAGCUUCCUGAUCAGCAGCCUUUUGGCUGACUGCUCGGCGAACGCCUUCGUUUAA
This 330-nucleotide ribosomal RNA is filed under the name Triticum aestivum (bread wheat). RNAcentral's name for it is "partial small subunit ribosomal RNA". Lineage: Eukaryota; Viridiplantae; Streptophyta; Magnoliopsida; Poales; Poaceae. The record is from RNAcentral.